CGGAUUUUAUUAAGUUUAAAAGGGGCGCCUUUAGCCCCGGGAAUAUAACCAAUUGGUGAAAUCCCUGCCAGCUUUAACCUGGUAGGAAUUGCCAUGGAUACCGGUAAUUUCUGAAUUCAGUGAAGUAUCCGGAAUGUGUAAAUGUACGGUGAAAUGCCUUAGAUAUUACCAGACACCGAUUGCGAAGGCAGCGUACUAGGCUGUAACUGGACGCUGAUGGACGAAAGCCUGGGGAUCGAACAGGAUUAGAUACCCCUGGUAGUCCACCCGUAAACGAUGAUCACUAUUUUUUGGCCGAAACACAGUCAGUUGACUUGACGAAGCCAAUUAAAGUGAUCCACCUGGGGAAUACGUCGGCAACGAUGAACCUCAAAAGGAAAUGACGGGGGCCCGCACAAACGGAGGAACAUGUGGUUUAAUUCGAUGAUACGCGAGGAACCUUACCCGGGCUUAAAUGUAGAGUUGGCAGUCUUGGAAACGAGAUUUUCUUCGGACACUUUACAAGGUGCUGCAUGGUUGUCGUCAGCUCGUGCCGUGAGGUUCGGGUUAAGUCCCAUAACGAGCGCAACCCUUACCGUUAGUUGCCAACAGGUAAAGCUGGGGACUCUAGCGGGACUGCCAUCGUAAGAUGCGAGGAAGGUGGGGAUGACGUCAAAUCAGCACGGCCCUUAUGUCCGGGGCUACACACGUGUUACAAUGGUCAGAACAAAGGGCAGCCACCUGGUAACAGGGCGCUAAUCUCGAAAUCUGAUCCCAGUUCGGAUCGGAGUCUGCAACUCGACUCCGUGAAGUUGGAAUCGCUAGUAAUCGCGCAUCAGCCAUGGCGCGGUGAAUACGUUCCCGGGCCUUGUACACACCGCCCGUCAAGCCAUGGAAGCCGGGGGCACCUGAAGUCCGUGCUCUCAUUAAGGGAAGCGGCCUAGGGUGAAACCGGUAACUGGGGCUAAGUCGUAACAAGGUAGCCGUACCGGAAGGUGCGGCUG
Molecule: ribosomal RNA, 983 nt
Filed under: epibiont metagenome
Description: bacterial SSU rRNA
Rfam family: Bacterial small subunit ribosomal RNA
Source: RNAcentral